This 67-nucleotide ribosomal RNA is filed under the name Entamoeba histolytica. RNAcentral describes it as "partial small subunit ribosomal RNA". Lineage: Eukaryota; Evosea; Mastigamoebida; Endamoebidae. The record is from RNAcentral.
AAAUUCUAGUGAGUUAGGAGCCACGACAAUUGUAGAACACACAGUGUUUAACAAGUAACGCAAUAAA